Molecule: ribosomal RNA, 404 nt
Filed under: uncultured bacterium
Lineage: Bacteria
Description: bacterial SSU rRNA
Rfam family: Bacterial small subunit ribosomal RNA
Source: RNAcentral
UGGGGAAUAUUGGACAAUGGGGGAAACCCUGAUCCAGCAAUGCCGCGUGAAUGAAGAAGGCCUUAGGGUUGUAAAAUUCUUUUGUCCGUGACGAUAAUGACGGUAGCGGACGAAUAAGCCCUGGCUAACUCUGUGCCAGCAGCCGCGGUAAUACAGAGAGGGCAAGCGUUGUCCGGAAUGACUGGGCGUAAAGCGCGCGCAGGCGGUCUUUUAAGUUGGAUGUGAAAUCCCCGGGCUUAACCUGGGAACUGCAUACGAUACUGGAAGACUAGAGGCCGAGAGAGGAAAGCGGAAUGACGAGUGUAGAGGUGAAAUUCGUAGAUAUUCGUCGGAACACCAGAGGCGAAGGCGGCUUUCUGGCUCGGACCUGACGCUCAGGCGCGAAAGCGUGGGGAGCAAACAGG